GACGAACGCUGGCGGCGUGCUUAACACAUGCAAGUCGAACGGACAGGCCCUGCGUUUGUGGGGUUCUCGAGUGGCGAACGGGUGAGUAACACGUGUGUAAACCGCCCCUGUCUGUCGGAGAACUCCACGGAACUGGGGCUCAUAUCGCAUAGGAGCUCCUGAUGCACGGUGGGCGAUGGAAAGUUUCGGCGGUUGGGGCUGGACUCGCGGCUUAUCCGCUGGUUGGUGGGGUAGUGGCUUACCAGGGCUUCGACGGGUAGGCGGCCUGAGAGGUUGGCCGGCGACAAGAGGCCUGCGAGAGGGAGCAGACGCGUACGGGAGGCAGCAGUGGGGAGUAUGACGCAACGGGGGGGAGUGUGAUGCAGCAAUGUCGCGUUCGUGAUGACGGCUUACGAGGUGUGAACCGCUUUCGCAGUUGAUAAAGAGGGAGUGACGGUAACGGGUAAAGAAGCACCGGCUAACUACGUG
Molecule: ribosomal RNA, 468 nt
Filed under: uncultured bacterium
Lineage: Bacteria
Description: partial 16S ribosomal RNA
Rfam family: Bacterial small subunit ribosomal RNA
Source: RNAcentral